UGGUGCAUGGCCGUUCUUA
Molecule: non-coding RNA, 19 nt
Filed under: Arabidopsis thaliana (thale cress)
Lineage: Eukaryota; Viridiplantae; Streptophyta; Magnoliopsida; Brassicales; Brassicaceae
Also listed under: 1 other name
Source: RNAcentral